AUCAAUCAGGGAUACCCAUGCUGGACUUCGAAUAAAGAUUAAACUCCAGGUCUGAGAGCCAGAUAACAGCCCUCCUCAAGAUAACCAGUCAAGUUUGGCACUGCAGGCCCUGAGCCAUUUUGGUCCACCCUGCUUUGACCCCACCCCUUGUCCACAUCAGCUCCUGUGAAGCCACCCCAGAAGAAAACCACUAUUCGUUCACAUUGGCUGAUUGAUGCUCCAUACGUCCAAACCUUCCAGUCCUCAAGAAACAAGUAUGGCUGAGUUCUGGGUAAAAGUGGAGAACAUGACCCUCUCCUCACUCUGUGCCAUGUUUUAUAUAAGAAAUAAAUUAAAAGUAUAUAAAAACACA
This 352-nucleotide long non-coding RNA is filed under the name Homo sapiens (human). Its description in RNAcentral is "novel transcript". The record is from RNAcentral. Lineage: Eukaryota; Metazoa; Chordata; Mammalia; Primates; Hominidae.